GACGAACGCUGGCGGCGUGCUUAACACAUGCAAGUCGAACGGAAAGGCCCUGCUUUUGUUGGGUGCUCGAGUGGCGGACGGGUGAGUAACACGUGAGUAACCUGCCCUUGACUUUGGGAUAACUUCAGGAAACUGGGGCUAAUACCGGAUAGGAGCUCCUGCCGCAUGGUGGGGGUUGGAAAGUUUCGGCGGUUGGGGAUGGACUCGCGGCUUAUCAGCUUGUUGGUGGGGUAGUGGCGUACCAAGGCUUUGACGGGUAGCCGGCCUGAGAGGGUGACCGGCCACAUUGGGACUGAGAUACGGCCCAGACUCCUACGGGAGGCAGCAGUGGGGAAUAUUGCAGAAUGGGCGGAAGCCUGAUGCAGCAACGCCGCGUGCGGGAUGACGGCCUUCGGGUUGUAAACCGCUUUCGCCUGUGACGAAGCGUGAGUGACGGUAAUGGGUAAAGAAGCACCGGCUAACUACGUG
This 468-nucleotide ribosomal RNA is filed under the name uncultured bacterium. Its description in RNAcentral is "partial 16S ribosomal RNA". It matches the Rfam family "Bacterial small subunit ribosomal RNA", at positions 28 to 507 of the family's 1533-position model. The record is from RNAcentral.